RNAcentral lists this ribosomal RNA (440 nucleotides) under uncultured bacterium. RNAcentral's name for it is "bacterial SSU rRNA". It matches the Rfam family "Bacterial small subunit ribosomal RNA", at positions 954 to 1392 of the family's 1533-position model. The record is from RNAcentral.
AUGGGAACGCGAAGAACCUUACCUACUCUUGACAUCCAGAGAACUUAGCAGAGAUGCUUUGGUGCCUUCGGGAACUCUGAGACAGGUGCUGCAUGGCUGUCGUCAGCUCGUGUUGUGAAAUGUUGGGUUAAGUCCCGCAACGAGCGCAACCCUUGUCCUUAGUUACCAGCACAUAAUGGUGGGCACUCUAAGGAGACUGCCGGUGACAAACCGGAGGAAGGUGGGGAUGACGUCAAGUCAUCAUGGCCCUUACGGCCUGGGCUACACACGUGCUACAAUGGUCGGUACAGAGGGUUGCCAAGCCGCGAGGUGGAGCUAAUCUCACAAAACCGAUCGUAGUCCGGAUCGCAGUCUGCAACUCGACUGCGUGAAGUCGGAAUCGCUAGUAAUCGCGAAUCAGAAUGUCGCGGUGAAUACGUUCCCGGGUCUUGUACACACCG